CCAAUAGCGUAUAUUAAAGUUGUUGCAGUUAAAAAGCUCGUAGUUGAAUUUCGGGAUCAAUAUGUCGGUCGUGCCUUCGGUACGUACUGGUAUCAUUGGUUUCUCCUUUCUGACGAACCAUGAUGUCAUUAAUUUGGUGUUAUGGGGAGUUAGGACUGUUACUUUGAAAAAAUUAGAGUGUUUAAAGCAGGCUUUAGCUUGAAUACAUUAGCAUGGAAUAAUGAAAUAGGACGUUCGAACCUAUUUUGUUGGUUUCUAGGAUCAACGUAAUGAUUAAUAGGGAUAGUUGGGGGCAUUAGUAUUCAAUUGUCAGAGGUGAAAUUCUUUGAUUUAUUGAAGACUAACUACUGCGAAAGCAUUUGCCAAGGAUGUUUUCAUUAAUCAAGAACGAAAGUUAGGGGAUCGAAGACGAUCAGAUACCGUCGUAGUCUUAACCAUAAACUAUGCCGACUAGGGAUCGGAUGAUGUUAAUUUUUUAAUGACUCAUUCGGCGCCUUACG
RNAcentral lists this ribosomal RNA (500 nucleotides) under uncultured Glomeromycotina. Its description in RNAcentral is "partial small subunit ribosomal RNA". It matches the Rfam family "Eukaryotic small subunit ribosomal RNA", at positions 591 to 1092 of the family's 1831-position model. The record is from RNAcentral. Lineage: Eukaryota; Fungi; Glomeromycota.